CCUACGGGGGGCAGCAGUGAGGAAUAUUGGUCAAUGGACGAGAGUCUGAACCAGCCAAGUAGCGUGAAGGAUGACUGCCCUAUGGGUUGUAAACUUCUUUUAUAUGGGAAUAAAAUGUUCCACGUGUGGGAUUUUGUAUGUACCAUAUGAAUAAGGAUCGGCUAACUCCGUGCCAGCAGCCGCGGUAAUACGGAGGAUCCGAGCGUUUUCUGGAUUUAUUGUGUUUAAAGGGUGCGUAGGCGGACUGUUACGUCAGCGGUAAAAGCCCGGGGCUCAACCCCGGCGAGCCGUUGAAACUGGCUGUC
RNAcentral lists this ribosomal RNA (305 nucleotides) under uncultured bacterium. RNAcentral's name for it is "bacterial SSU rRNA". It matches the Rfam family "Bacterial small subunit ribosomal RNA", at positions 338 to 641 of the family's 1533-position model. The record is from RNAcentral.